GUUUGUGCAUUUCCUCAAAUUCUCUCCUUUUAAUUUCCCUCCAUUCAUUAGAGGGAGCCAAAAUGACCCCCUGGCUGAAAUUGGUAUUUUUUCUUGCAUCCCUUAGAGGUGUCCGAUCUGAGGUCCAGUUGGUGGAGUCUGGAGGGGAUGUGAGGAGACCUGGAGAGUCCCUCCGUCUCUCCUGCCAAGCCUCUGGAUUCACUUUCAGCAGCUAUUACAUGAGAUGGGUGAGACAGGCUCCAGGGAAAGGACUGGAAUGGGUGGCCUACAUAAACACUGCUUCAAGUACUUACUACUCUGACAAAGUGAAGGGCCGCUUCACCAUCUCCAGGGACAAUGCCAAAAGCCAGCUGUAUCUGCAAAUGAACAAUUUGAAAGAAGAAGACGCAGCUGUCUAUUAUUGUGCUGGAGACACACAGUGAGAGGAAGUGAAUCUGAUGCCUGUCAAGAACUUUCUCUCCUUCUGAGCAGCUUACACUUAUUUACACUCAAUCCUUUUAUUUCGUUCCUUGCUGAAUUUCCUCAGUCUCAUACUUUCCUACAAGUUAUUCAUUUUCCAUUCCUUCCCCAUUUAUUUAUACUCCGUAUGUUUAAACCCGAGUCUCUGUCCUCAUCAGAUCUGUAUAAAAUCAGAUAGUUUGUGUAUAAAAUAAUUCAUACACACAUGAAACUCCAUGGCUUAUGAGUGCGGGUGGGGGAGGGAAUAAAUCCAUUCAAAAUA
Thamnophis elegans (Western terrestrial garter snake) is the source of this 721-nucleotide non-coding RNA. Lineage: Eukaryota; Metazoa; Chordata; Lepidosauria; Squamata; Natricidae. The record is from the annotation of a RefSeq genome assembly.